Molecule: long non-coding RNA, 101 nt
Organism: Gavialis gangeticus (Gharial)
Lineage: Eukaryota; Metazoa; Chordata; Crocodylia; Gavialidae
Exons: 4
Source: RefSeq, a predicted model, not a curated record
CAGUGUUACUGUGCAUCAGCACAAAUUCAUAGAUUCAUUGAUGCUAGGGGCUGGAAGGGACCUCUCAAGAUCACCAGAUCUAGUCUCCCUGCACUUGAGCA